Molecule: long non-coding RNA, 2198 nt
Filed under: Cottoperca gobio
Lineage: Eukaryota; Metazoa; Chordata; Actinopteri; Perciformes; Bovichtidae
Description: lncRNA (ENSCGOG00000020579.1)
Source: RNAcentral
UCCACGUCCGGUGCGCCUUGCGUCAGUGUGAACGUCUGGCUAUUUAAAGGGUGCACGUUGGCUCCUCUGUCAACUGCAGGCUCUGCCUUUCCAAGACAUCACAACCUUCACCAGACUUUAUCACCGAGGAACACCACUGACGAGACAGCAUGGUUCAUGGUAACGGGCUAGCUUUCCUGAAGAUUAAAGAAGGGCAAUUUGUGACUCUCCAGAAGUUCAAAACUGGACUGAAGCUGUGUGCUGUGGAUAUCCAAGAGAAUGCACUGUCGGUGCGCAUAUGGAGGCGGGAAAUAAACCAGAAAAAACAAAUGGCUUUCAGUUUCAAUCCUGGAGAUGGUGACUAUAUUCCGAAGGUGGUUGGAAAAGACCUGCAGUUUGAGAAGAUUCACAGUUUUACUUCCAGAACUAAUAUCAAUGAACAUCAUUGGUUUGAGAAGAUAAACCUUCAGAGCGGUGAACAUUACGGCCUGCGAUCUGUGUUCCUCCCCACUCAUUACCUCAGUAAAUCUUUGGAUGGCAAUAAAAAAUUUGCCGUUUUCUCCCUCCGUGCAAGCAGUCAGGACUGUGCAGAGCUCACAGACGAAUGUGUAGAGACACCCGCCACCAGUUGAACUUCACCUUCUACAACACUACACAAGACUUCCCUGCUGGGGGAGAUGGGGCCGACAGUGGAGUUACUUAGAUAGUUUGUCAUUCUUGGGUGGCUAUGUGUCUUCUUGUUAAACUGAAUUAACGGGGUACUCUUGCAAUUAACUUCCAUACAGUUGGGGGACUUGGAAAAGUCAGAUUAAAAAGGAAUGGUCAAAAUGUAGGUAGCAGUGGCAGAGAUAUCCUGCAUUUUAAUCCAUAGUAUGGGCAAGCUCCAAAAGCACUGCAUCCCAGUCUUCCUUUACUUUAAUGAACUUUUCCUGCUGGUAAAUUCCACUUUGUAACUUUCUGUUAAAAAGUCUCCCAGCCCAAGCUUUAGAUCCCUAGGUGUAAUUUCUCACACUAACAGGCUUACAACUAAUGUGACUUACCUUUUUAAUGUGACAAUGUUCCUCAAAUAGUAUUUAAGUAGCGAAGGAGGUAUCGACUACUGUAUGCCUGUGAAGGCGAUUGAUAAUUGUUGUCUUUUGGUCAUCUGGAGCUUCACACCAAUUUCUUCUGAAACAGACAGAAGUUCUUUAAAACAUUCAUGAUCCAGUGCACUGAUUGGCUGGCACUGAUACUGAAACUGCUUGAUCAACUCUUUUCAAUUUUACAACAUGACAUGGUUAAAUAUGAUUCAUGUUUUAGCAGCAGCACUUAUGCAGUUUCAUGACAUCUAAAAGCUAGUUAAACAGUUGAAGCCACUUUCGGUUUUACCAGCGUUUAGAAAACUCCUGCAGCUGCUAAAUUCACCCAUCAUGCACGUAAACGUUUGCCGCAUGCCUUUUCAUGUCCUGUCUUGCUGGUGUUGGAAAGGAACAGCUUUAUAUUUAUAUCUAUCUAUAUAUGUAUGUAUGUAUGUAUGUAUGUAUAUUUUUAUAAUAUUUAUACUAAAAGUGUAACUGUAAAUGUAAACGUAUCUUUUAUUAAACGGUUGUAUAUCAUGAAGGGUGUCCUUGUGUCUUUGAAAGAGUAAAUCAUUUCUUAAGUAGACUGACUCAACGGAUGUAGGUUGUGGGAAUAAGUCUUUCAUUAACGGAGCAUUCUCUUCCCCUUCAGCUAUCAGGGUGUUGCAUCCUGAGCUUAGUGCACUCAGAACACUCUUAGUUUCCAAAGACAAGUAGGAUUGGUUUGAAAAAAAAAACGACCUGGAAAGUUUCCCCCCUUUAGAACAAUGCUAAUAGUGGAAACAGUGCUUUUACCUAAAAGAAAACCCACUAAUACCACAAUAAAAUGUACUCCCACUACUACUAAAAGUCCUUCAUUUAAAACCUUACUUGGUAAGAAUAAUGUAUGAAAAGUACAAGUGCUCAUUGUGCAGUGAAAUGGUCCCUGUCUGUGUUUUAUUUUCUGGAUUAAUAUUACUGCUGCAUUAAUGUUGUAUUUUCCUGCUGUAGAUGUGGUUGUGCUCAUUUUAACUCCUUUAUAUUCUGUUGGGUAGUUUAAUCUACAGCAACACAUCAUGUUCUAUAAGAUCAUCAUGGUUGUAGCGUCGCUGUCCUGUGAUAACCACGUAUCUAUAAAAGGUUUUCAUGAGUUUCUCAGAAAAACUGCCUGUUUUCAGCUUU